GGAGCUGUAGGAGGAAGCUGCGCUGUUGGAGAGCCUGAGCAGUACACACCAUAUCAGGCACAAGGAAGGAGGCCCUGAGUGUGGUUCACAUUCAUUCAUUAACCUAGUUAAUCAUGCACUGAGGGAGAAAGAGUGGACCUAACAGAGCAGGUGGCUGAGUUGGGAAGACCAAGGCAGCUGGCCACUCUUCUCAACACAUCAGGCAAAGGAUCAAGAAAAGGCCUCCAUCCCUCUCCCUUGAAGCCAGGAAAAACAAGAGGACACGGGAAUGUGUGGUUCACGUUCAUUCAUUAACCUAGUUAAUCAUGCACUGAGGGAGAAAGAGUGGACCUAACAGAGCAGGUGGCUGAGUUGGGAAGACCAAGGCAGCAGGCCACUCUUCUCAACACAUCAGGCAAAGGAUCAAGAAAAGGCCUCCAUCCCUCUCCCCUGAAGCCAGGAAAAACAAGAGGACAUGGGAACGAUUGUAAUUCCUGGGUAGUCCUCAUAAGCAAGUUCUUCAGAGACAAGGACAGACUCGCAUGCCAGCAACUUGCUAAAAGAAAUCCCCUGAUUAACUGGAGAUUAAGCAACUGGAGAGUUCUCAACAGGAAAUUUACAAAUCAGCUGAAAGACAGGUUGGUGCUCAGAUACUGCCUACCCACAGGACCCAGCAAGUAUAUUUCCAGCACAUAAGGAUUGGGGUGUAAGGAGGGGGACAAAAAUGCCUUAUCUCUCUCUGCUUAUAACAUCAAUGAAUCUUUGAAAAACACUUAACUAAGGGGAGUGGUCCCAGAAUGAAAAGAAAUCCAGCCUGUGAACUGAGAACUGCCUGGUGUGGUGAGAGGGAUGUUGGUUUCAAAUCUUAUUGAGCUUGCUCAAGUUUAGAAGUUAGUUUGAGGUUUUAUCUUUUUAUUUCUUUUGUAACCAAUUCUGACUUUUGUGCCU
Long non-coding RNA from Mauremys mutica (yellowpond turtle), 927 nucleotides. RefSeq lists it as uncharacterized. The transcript is spliced from 4 exons. The record is from RefSeq and is a predicted model, not a curated record. Lineage: Eukaryota; Metazoa; Chordata; Testudines; Geoemydidae.